This is a long non-coding RNA of Solanum pennellii, 1412 nucleotides long. RefSeq lists it as uncharacterized. The record is from RefSeq and is a predicted model, not a curated record. Lineage: Eukaryota; Viridiplantae; Streptophyta; Magnoliopsida; Solanales; Solanaceae. The transcript is spliced from 5 exons.
UGCACCUAGCCAUGGGAAGACGAGCUAGAAUCCCAUCACUGAAAGCUCAAAUGACACUGGAAAACACAUCAAACAGUAUCAAUCAGCGUGUAAUGAAAGUAAAUCAACAAUCGAAGGCCGUGACGGAAAAGAGGGUUAAUACCUCCCCCUGACUCUAAUGUAACAGUAACUCCUAGUUCUGCAGGAGCGAAUGGAACCCUAAGUGGGAUUGGUACAGCUGGAACGAUUGCAAGCUCGAGUACUAUAGUUGAAGCCGUAGUGAUGGAAAAGAAGAUCGAUAAAGACCAGGAUGAUACAACCAAAACUCUGAGUUGGUGCUCUGAAAUUGUACAGGCACCUAGCGGCAGUGGGAAGAAUUCAUCAAGCAGCAGUGGGAGAAGAGGUGGGCGGAUGAGGUCGAAGAGGAAUUAAUCAUGCCAUCACCUAAGAGUUCUAUAUGGGAUAAUUUUGACAUAAUUAAUAUCAGUAUAGCAGGAUUUAAGCUGGAGUACAUUUCCCCUGAAAUUCAUGAAAACAAGUUAGGGUUUUGAUAGAAGAGAAAAGAGGAGAAAAGGAAGGAAGAACGUUCAAGAUCGUCGAAGUUCAGCUUGUGGAAUUCGUCGUGGUUGAUCCUUAAAAAGGUGUCUUUAAACUGCUAUACAAUGAAAUGAGUUAGUUAUUCAUGAGUUGAGCAGAGUCAAGACGCAAGUAACUAGGAUAGGCAUUUGGCACACCGUUGAUCCAGCAAGCAGCUCAGAGUUAGUUGGUGAAGAAGUCGAAGCUGAUUUGGGAGAAGAGGAGUGAGAAGUAACACCUACUAGUCCGGUGACAGAAGUUCCAAAUAGGAUUAUCAAUUUAACGAAGCAAAAUUGUUGACAUCUACCCCUUAUGCCUCCCACAAGGAAGAAGGUGAAGUGUCAAUGCCCUAAAACAUCUAUUGUAUGACAAUUUAUGACUUUCGAUAAAGAAAAUAGUGUUGCUAUUUGUAAUAAGUGUAAGCAACCUUUUAAACAUAAACAAGGUGGGGUCAAGGUGGGAUGGGGGGAUUAAAUAGACAUUUGUUAUCUUGUGUGUCGAUUCAAUAUAAAGAAUCUAAAGCAUUAGCCAAUAGAAAAAAAGGAAUUCCAAUUAAUGAAUUUGAUAUUAUCGGUAAUGCAUCGGUAGGGGCUUCUAACAUGGUUCAAGGAACAUUAGAUCCUUCUAACCCCGUUUGUCCAAUAACACAAUGUAGAUAUAAUAAGGAAUUAGAUCGCGAAAUUUAGCUAAAAUGGUUUCUGUUUGUGGUUUGCCUUAUAGUUUUCCUUCAAAUUUUGGUUUUAUUGAAUAUAUUCAACAAACUUAUAAUCCAGAUUAUAGAGGUUUUUCAAGAAAUAUUGUUAAAUAUAAUAUUUUUAAAUUUCAAGGUAACAUUGUCAAUUUCAUCGUUGUAUAUU